GCCUGCCCUGUGACCCCUGGUUUAACGGCCGCGGUAUUUUGACCGUGCAAAGGUAGCGCAAUCACUUGUCUCUUAAAUGAGGACCUGUAUGAAUGGCAUGACGAGGGCUUAACUGUCUCCUUUUCCCGGUCAAUGAAAUUGAUCUUCCCGUGCAGAAGCGGGAAUACUUGCAUAAGACGAGAAGACCCUAUGGAGCUUUAGACACUAGAACAGAUCAUGUAAACUACUCCCUAAACAAGUAAUAACUAUUGAAUCUCUGUUCCCCUGUCUUUGGUUGGGGCGACCACGGGGAAGAAUAAAACCCCCAUGUGGACUGGGAGCACAAAUCUGACUCCUACAAUUACGAGCCACAGCUCUAAAACGCAGAACCUCUGGCCAGUGAGAUCCGGCAAUGCCGAUUAACGAACCUAGUUACCCUAGGGAUAACAGCGCAAUCCCCUUCAAGAGUCCAUAUCGAC
This 458-nucleotide ribosomal RNA is filed under the name Joturus pichardi (bobo mullet). Its description in RNAcentral is "partial 16S ribosomal RNA". It matches the Rfam family "Bacterial large subunit ribosomal RNA", at positions 1857 to 2509 of the family's 2925-position model. Lineage: Eukaryota; Metazoa; Chordata; Actinopteri; Mugiliformes; Mugilidae. The record is from RNAcentral.